AUUGAACGCUGGCGGCAGGCCUAACACAUGCAAGUCGAGCGAGCGGCGGACGGGUGAGUAAUGUCUGGGAAACUGCCCGAUGGAGGGGGAUAACUACUGGAAACGGUAGCUAAUACCGCAUACCAUCGGCUUUGCCCAGAUGGGAUUAGCUAGUCGGUGGGGUAAAGGCUCACCUGGGCGACGAUCCCUAGCUGGUCUGAGAGGAUGACCAGCCACACUGGAACUGAGACACGGUCCCGACUCCUACGGGAGGCAGCAGGGGGGAAUAUUGCACAAUGGGCGCAAGCCUGAUGCAGCCAUGCCGCGUGUAUGAAGAAGGCCUUCGGGUUGUAAAGUACUUUCAGCGGGGAGGCGUUACCCGCAGAAGAAGCACCGGCUAACUCCGUGCCAGCAGCCGCGGUAAUUC
RNAcentral lists this ribosomal RNA (406 nucleotides) under uncultured bacterium. RNAcentral's name for it is "partial 16S ribosomal RNA". It matches the Rfam family "Bacterial small subunit ribosomal RNA", at positions 30 to 526 of the family's 1533-position model. The record is from RNAcentral.